UGGCUCAGUUAGUAGAGCAUGGUGUUUGCAAUGCCAGGGUUGUGGGUUCAAUUCCCAC
Salmo salar (Atlantic salmon) is the source of this 58-nucleotide non-coding RNA. The record is from Rfam. Lineage: Eukaryota; Metazoa; Chordata; Actinopteri; Salmoniformes; Salmonidae.